AUUAUUACUACUACUACGAUGCUUUUUUUAUUUUUUGGUUUUUAUAUUUAGAUGAAAUAACUCAAUUUGUAAAUUUAUAACAAUAACCUAAAAUUUCAUGUAAAAUACUUAAUUCUAAAUUUAAUCAAUUUAAAUUGAAAAAUAAAAUUUCAACAUCAAUCCAACUCAAAUUCUCAAAUUUGAUUAUGAAAUACAUAAGUUCAUCAAAACUAAAAAGUGCUUUCUAUUUUGUUUUUUAAAAUCACAAACUAGUAUUCAAAAGUAAUUUACCAUUUAUUCACUUUAAAUAUUUUUAGGUUUAAAUAUUUUUAAAUUUAAAUUUAAAAAAAUUGAAAAAAAAAUGUUGGCAGAUACCAAUGUAAGUACCCACUAGAUAUUUGGCACAUACUAAAUGUGGGUUUUAAGUUGUAAUACCAAACCCACCGACAACGGACAAAAUAACCUACAACGGACGAGUUUUGAUGGAUAAAUUUGAGUGAAUUUACGGGUACUAUUAUCAUCCUUAAACUUGGUCCCAAAUAAAUUUAUGCGAAAAAACCCCCCAUUAACCUUUGUAAUUAGAUGCAAUAACUAUUUUAUCUUUACUUUUUAAAUUAUUUAUUUCAUCUUUACUUUUUGUUUAAAAGGAGUUUGAGAUAUUGAUCUGAACUAGUAAGUUGAUUAGACGUGGCUAGAAAAGUCAAUUAAAUAAAGUUAGCCCAUUUAAUUAAAUAGCAGGAUUGCUCAGAGAAAACAAAAGAUAAAGUCCUUGGAAAAGGACGAUUUUAGUAAAUACGAUCAACAUCAAGGGCUAUUAUUAGAACCCAAAUUUAGUUGCCAGAGUUAAUACGUGAACAGUAGCAUGUUAUUAUGAAAAAGAAUAAAAUAUUUCUUUUUGGCUAAAAUGAAGGAGCUAAUGAGGGUGUAGAUUCCUUAAGCAAAGUAAUGAGGAGGAACCAUGUCACCUACCCCUGUUGUUUUAUAAAAAGCUGCAAGACCAUAACGCUAAAGCAAAAUACAGAAGCAAAGAUGGCGCUGAAGGCUUUUUGCCCCCAAGCUCACCAAUGUCACCAUCAAAAGUGAAACAAAUGAAAAUGCCAAAAUAACCUCACCUAAGGGAGGCCAAGCAGUGAAUAUCCGUCAAAUGUCCAAAAUUGACCAAAUUAACCCUCAACCACACUCCAAUAGGAAGCUCAAGAAUUCUCCAAAAUGGGUAACAUCUUAUCCAUUAAAAAAAUGCAUUUGUCUUUUUCAACUUAAACAACUAACGCCAUUACUAAAGAUUCAAAAUUCUUUACACCUUGAGGCCAUUUCUUUAUUGUCCAAAAUCUUACUUGAGCAUCGGAGUGUGGUCAUUGGCCAUUGUUGACUCAAUCUCUAACCUCAGUUUAUUCCAUUUUAUAAGUUUAAAAUAGCUCAAUAGCUUAAGGGUUUCAUCUACGUCUUAACUUUCAACACCUAAAACUCGUCGAGUUAUCUUUCCUCCUCUUGUAAAAUGAGACCUCAAGCUUAACAAGGCAACUUUACUUCCUUCUAAAUAAAUUUAUUUGUUUUAACUGAAUCCACCAAAAUCCUGUUAAAACACUUUUCAACAAUAACCCUAGUUACCAUUUCAUGAAUUUAUAGUUAGUUUAUUAAAUAAUUCAUUGAGGACAAAAUAGAAUUUUUAAUUAAAUAGAUACAAAUCAUUUUAAAAUAAAAAUUUCAAGUACAAUUAAAUAAAAUUUGCGUAAUACCCCAACAUCUUGAUGCCGUUGGGAACCGAGAUGUUACGAAACAAUUUGUUCCAUCAUCCUUAAAACUCAUGCAAAUAAUAAAGAACAAAAAGCAUAAAUCUAAACUUGACAUCCAACCCAUAAUUGAAUUUCAGAAAUUUUCGCUUAUCGUCUAUAUGGAAACUCACUCAUCCAAAGAGCCUAGCAUAAUAACAUAUAAAAGUCUCGAACAAAAACAUCCAUCUAUAAACUCAAUCUAGAAAAUGUUAUAAGAUGAGGAGUGAACUACUAACUUGGUAAGUAAACCCAUACAUAACAUUAUCCUAUGUCUAUCUAGUAUAUGAUAACUAUUUAUUGAAGCACUUAUGUCUUUAAACAAUGAGCAUUUAAGUCUUUCGGACGUUAAAACAAUUAAACAAAUUUAAAAUCAUAUGUGAAGUACAAAUCAAUAUGAUAUCAUAUUUGAAUGCAUGUAUUAAUCAUUUAAAAAUAUAAAUAUAUAGACAAAUAACUUUUAAGCCAAAAAUCAUUUGAACAUAUAACCAUUUUAUCAAUAAAUCAUUUCAUUUAAAACAAUUGCUUAUGCCACGUAGUAGGGGUGUUCAAAAUCCAAUCUAAUCCACUUAAUCCGUCUAAUAUGUAGAAAUCCAAUUUAUGGAUUGGUGGAUUAAAUUGGAUUGAAAAUUUAAAAAUUCGUAGUCAAUAGAUUGGAUAUAGAUUUACUUCUAUAAAUCUACAAAAAUCCGCGAAUCCGUAAAAAA
This 2455-nucleotide long non-coding RNA is filed under the name Citrus x clementina. Its description in RNAcentral is "Citrus clementina (C. clementina) long non-coding RNA (CCLE_LNC005385)". Lineage: Eukaryota; Viridiplantae; Streptophyta; Magnoliopsida; Sapindales; Rutaceae. The record is from RNAcentral.